Molecule: long non-coding RNA, 418 nt
Filed under: Ananas comosus (pineapple)
Lineage: Eukaryota; Viridiplantae; Streptophyta; Magnoliopsida; Poales; Bromeliaceae
Description: long non-coding RNA (ACOM_LNC012002)
Source: RNAcentral
ACCGAACUGCAAUCUUUAUCAGAUAGCUUUCGGAUUUUAUUUCUCACUCUAUGGGUGUCAGAAAAAUAUGAAACCUUAAAUCUAGCCUCAUAAAAAUAUUUCUGACAUCUCCGCCAAUUUUCAUAAUUUUCUGAGACUGUGCAUUUUCUGCUUAUUUUUCUGUCCCGUCUCCAACAGAAAAUUCUAGAUCUUCUGUUUUAAUUCCGAUUUCAGCACAAAUCACCUCUGACUUAUGUUUUACCUCUAUAAAUCUAAUAAAAAUAGUUUCUCACACUAUUUUUAUUUAUUAUUAUUUUUAUACCAAAAUCUGGUAUAUUACAUUCUCCACCCCUUAAAAAGAAUUUCGUCCGCGAAAUUCAAACCACAACUCGAUUCAGCUCCUCGAGUAAUUGAGGGCACCAAUACACUUUUCCACUUC